RNAcentral lists this ribosomal RNA (433 nucleotides) under uncultured bacterium. Its description in RNAcentral is "partial 16S ribosomal RNA". It matches the Rfam family "Bacterial small subunit ribosomal RNA", at positions 29 to 507 of the family's 1533-position model. The record is from RNAcentral.
AACGAACGCUGGCGGCAUGCCUAACACAUGCAAGUCGAACGAGACCUUCGGGUCUAGUGGCGCACGGGUUCGUAACGCGUGGGAACCUGCCCUUAGGUUCGGAAUAACUCCCCGAAAGGGGUGCUAAUACCGGAUAAUGUCUUCGGACCAAAGAUUUAUCGCCGUUGGAUGGGCCCGCGUUGGAUUAGCUAGUUGGUAGGGUAAAAGCCUACCAAGGCGACGAUCCAUAGCUGGUCUGAGAGGAUGAUCAGCCACACUGGGACUGAGACACGGCCCAGACUCCUACGGGAGGCAGCAGUGGGGAAUAUUGGACAAUGGGCGAAAGCCUGAUCCAGCAAUGCCGCGUGAGUGAUGAAGGCCUUAGGGUUGUAAAGCUCUUUUACCCGGGAUGAUAAUGACAGUACCGGGAGAAUAAGCUCCGGCUAACUCCGUG